CCUACGGGGCGCAGCAGUGGGGAAUAUUGGGCAAUGGGCGCAAGCCUUACCCAGCAAUACCGCGUGAGUGAAGAAGGUCUUCGGAUUGUAAAGCUCUUUGAUCAGGGACGAACAGAUGACGGUACCUGAAGAACAAGCCCCGGCUAACUACGUGCCAGCAGCCGCGGUAAAACGUAGGGGGCAAGCGUUAUCCGGAUUUACUGGGUGUAAAGGGAGCGUAGACGGCAGAGCAAGUCUGGAGGGAAAGGCGGGGGCUCAACCCCC
This 264-nucleotide ribosomal RNA is filed under the name uncultured bacterium. RNAcentral describes it as "partial 16S ribosomal RNA". It matches the Rfam family "Bacterial small subunit ribosomal RNA", at positions 338 to 617 of the family's 1533-position model. The record is from RNAcentral.